RNAcentral lists this transfer RNA (74 nucleotides) under Brumimicrobium sp. Its description in RNAcentral is "tRNA-Thr". It matches the Rfam family "tRNA". From Rfam's summary of the family: Transfer RNA (tRNA) molecules are approximately 80 nucleotides in length. Their secondary structure includes four short double-helical elements and three loops (D, anti-codon, and T loops). Further hydrogen bonds mediate the characteristic L-shaped molecular structure. tRNAs have two regions of fundamental functional importance: the anti-codon, which is responsible for specific mRNA codon recognition, and the 3' end, to which the tRNAs corresponding amino acid is attached (by aminoacyl-tRNA synthetases). tRNAs cope with the degeneracy of the genetic code in two manners: having more than one tRNA (with a specific anti-codon) for a particular amino acid; and 'wobble' base-pairing, i.e. permitting non-standard base-pairing at the 3rd anti-codon position. The record is from RNAcentral. Lineage: Bacteria; Pseudomonadati; Bacteroidota; Flavobacteriia; Flavobacteriales; Crocinitomicaceae.
GCCGAUGUAGCUCAGUUGGCUAGAGCAGCUGAUUUGUAAUCAGCAGGUCGGGGGUUCGAAUCCCUCUAUCGGCU